GAUGAACGCUGGCGGCGUGCCUAAUGCAUGCAAGUCGAGCGAACAGACGAGGAGCUUGCUCCUCUGACGUUAGCGGCGGACGGGUGAGUAACACGUGGAUAACCUACCUAUAAGACUGGGAUAACUUCGGGAAACCGGAGCUAAUACCGGAUAAUAUAUUGAACCGCAUGGUUCAAUAGUGAAAGACGGUUUUGCUGUCACUUAUAGAUGGAUCCGCGCCGCAUUAGCUAGUUGGUAAGGUAACGGCUUACCAAGGCGACGAUGCGUAGCCGACCUGAGAGGGGGAUCGGCCACACUGGAACUGAGACACGGUCCAGACUCCUACGGGAGGCAGCAGUAGGGAAUCUUCCGCAAUGGGCGAAAGCCUGACGGAGCAACGCCGCGUGAGUGAUGAAGGUCUUCGGAUCGUAAAACUCUGUUAUUAGGGAAGAACAAAUGUGUAAGUAACUAUGCACGUCUUGACGGUACCUAAUCAGAAAGCCACGGCUAACUACGUG
This 497-nucleotide ribosomal RNA is filed under the name uncultured bacterium. Its description in RNAcentral is "partial 16S ribosomal RNA". It matches the Rfam family "Bacterial small subunit ribosomal RNA", at positions 28 to 507 of the family's 1533-position model. The record is from RNAcentral.